UCAAAAUAUAGUUUUGAAAAAUAUAAUUAAAAUUUGUGUUACAACAAAUAAGGUUUGAUUUAACUAAAUAGAAGAUAAUGUAUUCUUA
Ipomoea nil (Japanese morning glory) is the source of this 88-nucleotide long non-coding RNA. RefSeq lists it as uncharacterized. Lineage: Eukaryota; Viridiplantae; Streptophyta; Magnoliopsida; Solanales; Convolvulaceae. The record is from RefSeq and is a predicted model, not a curated record. The transcript has 3 exons.